RNAcentral lists this ribosomal RNA (522 nucleotides) under uncultured bacterium. RNAcentral's name for it is "bacterial SSU rRNA". It matches the Rfam family "Bacterial small subunit ribosomal RNA", at positions 777 to 1297 of the family's 1533-position model. The record is from RNAcentral.
AAUAGAUACCCCGGUAGUCCACGCCGUAAACGAUGAGUGCUAAGUGUUAGAGGGUUUCCGCCCUUUAGUGCUGCAGCUAACGCAUUAAGCACUCCGCCUGGGGAGUACGGUCGCAAGACUGAAACUCAAAGGAAUUGACGGGGGCCCGCACAAGCGGUGGAGCAUGUGGUUUAAUUCGAAGCAACGCGAAGAACCUUACCAGGUCUUGACAUCCUCUGACAACUCUAGAGAUAGAGCGUUCCCCUUCGGGGGACAGAGUGACAGGUGGUGCAUGGUUGUCGUCAGCUCGUGUCGUGAGAUGUUGGGUUAAGUCCCGCAACGAGCGCAACCCUUGAUCUUAGUCGCCAGCAUUAAGUUGGGCACUCUAAGGUGACUGCCGGUGACAAACCGGAGGAAGGUGGGGAUGACGUCAAAUCAUCAUGCCCCUUAUGACCUGGGCUACACACGUGCUACAAUGGAUGGUACAAAGGGCUGCAAGCCGCGAGGUACAAGCCAAUCCCAUAAAACCAUUCUCAGUUCGGA